Molecule: ribosomal RNA, 576 nt
Filed under: Penicillium sp.
Lineage: Eukaryota; Fungi; Ascomycota; Eurotiomycetes; Eurotiales; Aspergillaceae
Description: eukaryotic LSU rRNA
Rfam family: Eukaryotic large subunit ribosomal RNA
Source: RNAcentral
UAAGCAUAUCAAUAAGCGGAGGAAAAGAAACCAACAGGGAUUGCCCCAGUAACGGCGAGUGAAGCGGCAAGAGCUCAAAUUUGAAAGCUGGCUCCUUCGGGGUCCGCAUUGUAAUUUGCAGAGGAUGCUUCGGGAGCGGUCCCCAUCUAAGUGCCCUGGAACGGGACGUCAUAGAGGGUGAGAAUCCCGUAUGGGAUGGGGUGUCCGCGCCCGUGUGAAGCUCCUUCGACGAGUCGAGUUGUUUGGGAAUGCAGCUCUAAAUGGGUGGUAAAUUUCAUCUAAAGCUAAAUAUUGGCCGGAGACCGAUAGCGCACAAGUAGAGUGAUCGAAAGAUGAAAAGCACUUUGAAAAGAGAGUUAAAAAGCACGUGAAAUUGUUGAAAGGGAAGCGCUUGCGACCAGACUCGCUCGCGGGGUUCAGCCGGCAUUCGUGCCGGUGUACUUCCCCGCGGGCGGGCCAGCGUCGGUUUGGGCGGUCGGUCAAAGGCCCUCGGAAGGUAACGCCCCUAGGGGCGUCUUAUAGCCGAGGGUGCAAUGCGACCUGCCUAGACCGAGGAACGCGCUUCGGCUCGGACGC